UUCACUUCUCAGCCUUUUGGCUAAGAUCAAGUGUAGUAUCUAUUCUUAUCAGCGGGUGGGAUAUCUUCUAGUUGAGGGAGGUAUGGAAGUCCCCAUAUGUUUGUGGCGGGCAGUGAACCACUU
Molecule: small nuclear RNA, 123 nt
Filed under: Xenopus laevis (African clawed frog)
Lineage: Eukaryota; Metazoa; Chordata; Amphibia; Anura; Pipidae
Description: U2 spliceosomal RNA
Rfam family: U2 spliceosomal RNA
About the family: U2 is a small nuclear RNA (snRNA) component of the spliceosome (involved in pre-mRNA splicing). Complementary binding between U2 snRNA (in an area lying towards the 5' end but 3' to hairpin I) and the branchpoint sequence (BPS) of the intron results the bulging out of an unpaired adenosine, on the BPS, which initiates a nucleophilic attack at the intronic 5' splice site, thus starting the first of two transesterification reactions that mediate splicing.
Source: Rfam by way of RNAcentral